UACGGGAGGCAGCAGUGGGGAAUAUUGCACAAUGGGCGCAAGCCUGAUGCAGCCAUGCCGCGUGUAUGAAGAAGGCCUUCGGGUUGUAAAGUACUUUCAGUCGUGAGGAAGGUGUUAAGGUUAAUAACCUUAGCAAUUGACGUUAGCGACAGAAGAAGCACCGGCUAACUCCGUGCCAGCAGCCGCGGUAAUACGGAGGGUGCGAGCGUUAAUCGGAAUUACUGGGCGUAAAGGGCACGCAGGCGGUUAAUUAAGUUGGAUGUGAAAUCCCCGGGCUUAACCUGGGAAUGGCAUUCAAGACUGGUUAGCUAGAGUCUUGUAGAGGGGGUAGAAUUCCAUGUGUAGCGGUGAAAUGCGUAGAGAUGUGGAGGAAUACCGGUGGCGAAGGCGGCCCCUGGACAAAGGCUGACGCUCAUGUGCGAAAGCGUGGGGAGCGAAACAGGGAUUAGA
RNAcentral lists this ribosomal RNA (450 nucleotides) under uncultured bacterium. Its description in RNAcentral is "bacterial SSU rRNA". It matches the Rfam family "Bacterial small subunit ribosomal RNA", at positions 340 to 782 of the family's 1533-position model. The record is from RNAcentral.